RNAcentral lists this ribosomal RNA (515 nucleotides) under uncultured bacterium. RNAcentral describes it as "partial 16S ribosomal RNA". It matches the Rfam family "Bacterial small subunit ribosomal RNA", at positions 28 to 523 of the family's 1533-position model. The record is from RNAcentral.
GAUGAACGCUGGCGGCGUGCCUAAUACAUGCAAGUCGAGCGAAUGGAUUAAGAGCUUGCUCUUAUGAAGUUAGCGGCGGACGGGUGAGUAACACGUGGGUAACCUGCCCAUAAGACUGGGAUAACUCCGGGAAACCGGGGCUAAUACCGGAUAACAUUUUGAACCGCAUGGUUCGAAAUUGAAAGGCGGCUUCGGCUGUCACUUAUGGAUGGACCCGCGUCGCAUUAGCUAGUUGGUGAGGUAACGGCUCACCAAGGCAACGAUGCGUAGCCAGCCUGAGAGGGGGAUCGGCCACACUGGGACUGGGACACGGCCCAGACUCCUACGGGAGGCAGCAGUAGGGAAUCUUCCGCAAUGGACGAAAGUCUGACGGAGCAACGCCGCGUGAGUGAUGAAGGCUUUCGGGUCGUAAAACUCUGUUGUUAGGGAAGAACAAGUGCUAGUUGAAUAAGCUGGCACCUUGACGGUACCUAACCAGAAAGCCACGGCUAACUACGUGCCAGCAGCCGCAGUAA